GGCCGCUUUAACUAUUGGAGCGACGGCCGCCUCAGCUAUGAGAAGGGUUCUACUAUUGAGAAGGCGAUCAGCUUUGAGGAAACGGCGGCUUUAUAGAGGAGGCGUGACGGCUUUAAUAUUGGAGGAGGUGGCAACAAUUUUAAAUGUGGCCGUUGAAAAACUGUGAUGUGUUAAUAUAAAAGGUCGUUUCCCGCCAACUGAUAGAUGACGAUAAAAGCAACGUGCGUGUGAAUUUACAGGCAAAUCUGACAUGUUCCGAAGAAGAACUUAUAUGUUAUAAGUUAUGGCUGAAACAAAAGAUACGGAACAUCUGAUACGCCUCAAAGGAAAAAAUUAUAUUGAUCAAAUAUAACUGUGACGUUGUCAACAAAAGGAUCUACCCACCAGGAUUCUCUAGUUUAAGACUCAUACUCACAUUUAACAUAAUUAAAUAAGUAAAAUAACUAAACAUUAGCUUAAAGUAUGCAAAAGAAAUUUGCGAUCGUUAACUUCACAGUCGACUGUUAAGUCAACAGCCGCCUAACAUUUUUACUUCUUAAAGAUUUCUGUUCGCCUGGUACUUGAGACAAUUUUUAGUUCACACCUCAAGCUUCAGUGGGCCCUCAAUUGCCGCCCCAUGCGCGUAUGCAAUGAAAUUUGCAUUUACAAUAUUUUUGUCUGCCUGCUGGACAUUUCUGUUCGCCUGUUAUUUCAGCUGCAAUUUUUGUUCAAAUCUGAACCAGCCAGCGGUGGGACUAACAACCGUUGAUAUUUGAAUUUUGUCUUCCAAAUGGCAGAAAACCAAAAAAAUGCAUUUAUUUUCUUAUAUAAUUCAUUUUUAUCAUAUAAAACUUACAUAAUUGUUGUUUCUAUCAUGUACUUUAUUAAUUAUCUUUCAAA
Molecule: long non-coding RNA, 879 nt
Organism: Drosophila montana
Lineage: Eukaryota; Metazoa; Arthropoda; Insecta; Diptera; Drosophilidae
Exons: 4
Source: RefSeq, a predicted model, not a curated record